GUGGGGAAUAUUGGGCAAUGGGGGCAACCCUGACCCAGCAACGCCGCGUGAGGGAAGAAGGUUUUCGGAUUGUAAACCUCUGUCCUAUGGGAAGAAGGAAGUGACGGUACCAUAGGAGGAAGCCCCGGCUAACUACGUGCCAGCAGCCGCGGUAAUACGUAGGGGGCGAGCGUUGUCCGGAAUUACUGGGCGUAAAGGGUGCGCAGGUGGCCUGACAAGUCAGAUGUGAAAUACCGAUGCUUAACGUCGGGGCUGCAUUUGAAACUAUGAGGCUGGAGUGCAGGAGAGGGAAGCGGAAUUCCUAGUGUAGCGGUGAAAUGCAUAGAUAUUAGGAGGAACACCAGUGGCGAAGGCGGCUUUCUGGACUGUAACUGACACUGAGGCACGAAAGCGUGGGGAGCAAACGGGAUUAGAAACCCGAGUAGUCC
RNAcentral lists this ribosomal RNA (428 nucleotides) under uncultured bacterium. RNAcentral describes it as "partial 16S ribosomal RNA". It matches the Rfam family "Bacterial small subunit ribosomal RNA", at positions 354 to 796 of the family's 1533-position model. The record is from RNAcentral.